RNAcentral lists this ribosomal RNA (234 nucleotides) under uncultured Anoxybacillus sp. RNAcentral's name for it is "partial 16S ribosomal RNA". It matches the Rfam family "Bacterial small subunit ribosomal RNA", at positions 1149 to 1382 of the family's 1533-position model. The record is from RNAcentral. Lineage: Bacteria; Bacillati; Bacillota; Bacilli; Caryophanales; Anoxybacillaceae.
CGGCCGUAAAGUAACCGGAGGAAGGUGGGGAUGACGUCAAAUCAUCAUGCCCCUUAUGACCUGGGCUACACACGUGCUACAAUGGGCGGUACAAAGGGUCGCGAACCCGCGAGGGGGAGCCAAUCCCAAAAAGCCGCUCUCAGUUCGGAUUGCAGGCUGCAACUCGCCUGCAUGAAGCCGGAAUCGCUAGUAAUCGCGGAUCAGCAUGCCGCGGUGAAUACGUUCCCGGGCCUU